Molecule: ribosomal RNA, 373 nt
Filed under: uncultured organism
Description: bacterial SSU rRNA
Rfam family: Bacterial small subunit ribosomal RNA
Source: RNAcentral
CGGAGGGGGCAAGCGUUGUUCGGAUUUACUGGGCGUAAAGGGUGUGUAGGCGGCUGGAUGAGUCUGGCGUGAAAUCUUCACCGCUUAACGGGAAGGGGUCGCUGGAAACUGUUCAGCUUGAGUAUGGUAGAGGCAAGCGGAAUUCCUGGUGUAGCGGUGGAAUGUGUAGAUAUCAGGAAGAACACCGGUGGCGAAGGCGGCUUGCUGGGCCAUCACUGACGCUGAGACACGAAAGCGUGGGGAGCAAACGGGAUUAGAUACCCCGGUAGUCCACGCUGUAAACGGUGCGCACUAGGUGUGGGGGGUAUCGACUCCUCCCGUGCCGACGUUAACACAUUAAGUGCGCCGCCUGGGGAGUACGGCCGCAAGGUUG